Long non-coding RNA from Prosopis cineraria, 599 nucleotides. RefSeq lists it as uncharacterized. The record is from RefSeq and is a predicted model, not a curated record. NCBI's taxonomy places the organism in Eukaryota, Viridiplantae, Streptophyta, Magnoliopsida, Fabales, Fabaceae. The transcript has 2 exons.
UCCCUCCGAAGAGAUCAUCGCCCUCUCACCUUGCUGUCCCCACUGCCAAGCUUGUCCUUCAUCAUCAUCGCACGCUCUCUCUGUCUUCACUCCCACCGAUCGAGCUUCCUCCUUCAUAGCCUCAUAGUGUCUUCCUCAUCUUCCCUUCUCUGGAGAGAGGCAUCUUCUAUCGUCGCUAUUUAGAUUCAUGAUGAGCACUUGAGCUUCAAGAAAUUGGAGAAUGCAUGUAUAAUAGAUAUGAAAAAGUAUAAUGACAUUUGAGGAAUUAACCCACUGAACUAAUAGAAGGACGAAACUGGGAAAGUAUGAAAGAAGUAUUAGCCAUGAUGGAUGAAACUAAUCAAGUUUGGUGCUGGAGUGGAUUUGGAAGGUGUAGAAACAAGUGGUCAAUUUGUAGGUUAUAGUUAAGCAUGCUUGCAAACGACAUGUUAAGCUAUCCUUUGUUGUCCAUGAAGUUUUUAUUUCUUUUUAUGUGAGUUAUGAAUAUGUCAUUCUUUUAUAUUCUGUUCUUCUCGGCCAAACCAUGCAAGUAUCUUUUGUCAUAAUGUUUUAUCAGAAAACAUAAAUAUAAUCUAUAGCUGUUACAAUGUUAUAGGAUA